Molecule: microRNA precursor, 63 nt
Filed under: Monodelphis domestica (gray short-tailed opossum)
Lineage: Eukaryota; Metazoa; Chordata; Mammalia; Didelphimorphia; Didelphidae
Description: microRNA mdo-mir-12297c precursor (mdo-mir-12297c-2)
Source: miRBase by way of RNAcentral
UCCUUUGCGUGGCCCCUUGUUCUGAGAGUACAUAAACAAGAAUGAGGUACUAUGCAAAGGAUU